GAAAGAAGUGGGUCAUGUGGUCCAAUGUUGUAAUGACACCCAUGUCCUCAAAGAGUCGAAGGAACGGACUGAGAAAUUCAAGAGCAAUAGAAAUGAGCCAACUGCAGCUUCAGCGCAUCAAGACGAAGCUUACAGCACAGGGAGUGAGAAGUCACAGAAGUACUUACUGUAUGAUUCCACUGACAGCGAACAUCAGAGCAACUCAGAAACUAAUUUAAAAUCAAUCAAAGCCCUAAGUGUCAGAGUGAAAAUCCUAAGGCUUCUAGAAGAAACAGGAGACUAUCUUUGCAACCUUGCAGUAGACAAAGACUUCUUAGGAGCUUCAAAGCACUAACCGUCCAAGAAAAAAUACUGACAAACUGAGCUUCAUUAAAAUUAAGAAUUUUUGCUUAUUAAAAUAAGACAUGGUUAAUGAAGAGGCCAGCCUCAGCCUGGGAGAACGUGUUGACGAAGCAACCCCGGGAAAGGAUUUGGAUCCAGACUAGAUAAGGAAGUCCUGCAGCUCAACAACCCCCAGCAGCUGCAGGUUCCUGGCAGGCCGGCUCAGGGG
Non-coding RNA from Ceratotherium simum simum (southern white rhinoceros), 550 nucleotides. Lineage: Eukaryota; Metazoa; Chordata; Mammalia; Perissodactyla; Rhinocerotidae. The record is from RefSeq and is a predicted model, not a curated record.